GACGAACGCUGGCGGCGUGCCUAACACAUGCAAGUCGAGCGUGAUUUAUGAGGACGAAACUUCGGUCUAGGAAUCAUAAUGAAAGCGGCGGACGGGUGAGUAACGCGUAGGCAACCUGCCCUUGACACAGGGAUAGCCUCGGGAAACCGGGAUUAAAACCUGAUAACGCCAAAGAGCCACAUGGCUCUUGGGCCAAAGAUUUAUCGGUCAAGGAUGGGCCUGCGUCUGAUUAGUUAGUUGGUGGGGUAACGGCCUACCAAGACGACGAUCAGUAGCCGACCUGAGAGGGUGAUCGGCCACAUUGGAACUGAGACACGGUCCAAACUCCUACGGGAGGCAGCAGUGGGGAAUAUUGCACAAUGGGCGAAAGCCUGAUGCAGCAACGCCGCGUGAGCGAUGAAGGCCUUUGGGUCGUAAAGCUCUGUCCUUGGGGAAGAAACAAAUGACGGUACCCAAGGAGGAAGCCCCGGCUAACUACGUGCCAGCAGCCGCGGUAAAACGUAGCGUGC
This 509-nucleotide ribosomal RNA is filed under the name uncultured bacterium. Its description in RNAcentral is "bacterial SSU rRNA". It matches the Rfam family "Bacterial small subunit ribosomal RNA", at positions 28 to 535 of the family's 1533-position model. The record is from RNAcentral.